GUACUUUCACAUUGGGUGCUCCAUUGCACAAAAGAAGAUAAAUAUUUGCUAUUACUUCUUUCUAUCAUCUCUCUCUCUCUCUUUCCGUCUUUCCCUCCUUCCUUCCCAUCUUUAACCUUCAAAGGACUUCCUUGCUUCUGGUGCUUUGAAAAGAAAAUCUGAGGUUCUUGUUUACCCUCUACUCUAUUUUCUUUAAACCAGUUCUGUUCUUUCAAUCUUUUCACUUGAUACAAUCCUUCUACACAGAACAAAGCCUCUAAGUUCCAUUUAUUUACUGUUUUCAGUAUCUUCUUCCUUGGGUUCUCCCUGAAAAGUUCUUGAGCUUUUUCUUGGGUUGCUUCCUCUUCAAGAUCUUAUCUUACUCUGCUUAAAAAAUAAGCUGAAAGAUUUUUUUUUUCCUCCUGAGAAAGUGAUGGGAAAAUAUUCUCAGAAUUUUCAAGGAAAUAAAUUUGUAUUAAGGUACGAGUAAUUGUUCCCUAGCAUCAAGUCUCUUGACUCUAGCUUACAAUUUUAGAAAAGAAACAAGUUAAAACAGAGCAAACAGAGCAUUUGUUCAUGGAUUCGAGUAGCAAUCACAGUUAUCACAACCAGAACAGUCAAUCCUGUUCUGGGUUGUUGCGGUUUCGAUCAGCUCCAAGCUCACUUCUUGCAAAUUUCAAUGAUAAUGGAGGUAGCAAUGAUUCUGUUAUGAGUUUCCAAGUAUUCGAGGAUAGAUCUGCAGUAAGAGUGAGAGAGCCACCUCUCAAUUAUGCAAAUUCUCCGCAGAAUUACACCGGUUUGCCUCCUCAUUACCCAAGACAAAGUUCAGCUACGACUUCUUCUGCUAUGGAUAGCUGUUAUGGUUUGAUAGGUUCAAUGGCAAUGGGUAAUCAUGAGCAAGCCAAAAGGUUUGAUUCAAAUCUUGCUAGACAGAAUAGCUCCCCUGCUGGACUUUUUGCUAACCUCUCUGUUCAAAAUGGUAUUUAUCUUGCUCUCAUUUUUAAAUGAAUCCCCUUAAGCUCACUAUGUGAUUUUUUAAGUUUUCCAUGGUUGAAAGUUCCUUAUUUCAUGGAUAAAUAUCGCUAGCCAUACCUUUAAAUUUGCUUGUAUUCUUGAGAUAUGUGUAUUAAAGAAAUUAUUAUGAGAAGCUCAUUACCUUAGAGAGUGGAAUGGAUGAUGAUUCACUGCAUCUUAAAAUGUAAAAAAUUUAUAUUCUAUAGAUGAGUUUGAGCAAUCGAUGGAGCUAAGAUGCAACUGAGCAGUGAAAAGAUGAAGAAAUUGAAGAAAAAUGGAGUCUUAAAGAAAAGAAAUAUGUCUGUAUAUGGCUUAGUUAAGAUGGUUUAAUGUUAUGAGUUUUGAUGUCAUCAUGUAACCAAAAUCUUACAGCAAAUUUCAAUUCAAAAAAAUUUUAUUGAGAUCAUGUAUGGUUUGUUUUUGUAUUAUAAAUUCCUCAUUCUGGUAAGUGGAGAGAAAUAUAAUGGCAGAAGCCUUAUUAAAGAUUACAAAGUAGAAGGAAAUAUUGAAGAUCUCUCCAGUAUAUUGCAGGCUAUGCCACCGUGAAAGGCAUGGGGAACUACGCUGGGAUGAAUGGUACAAAUGGAGAAGUAAGUCCAAGAUUAAAGAGCCAACUUAGCUUCCCAGCAAGAGCGCCUUCUUCUUUGGGGAUGUUGUCUCAGAUAUCAGCAAUCGAGAGUGAAAGUAUUGAUGCAGCGAGCCCUGAUAGUGGAAAGCUCAGAAAUGGCAACUGUGACAGUCGAUUUUAUAACAGUACUGGGUACCCAUAUGGAUCUUGGAAUGAUUCACAUUUUCCAGAAAAUUUUAAUGGCAUGAAAAGAGAUCCGGAUGAUAAUGGAAAGCUAUUUUCUAACAUUCAGAAUGGAGAGCUUGGAAAUGGCGUUCAUGUAUUAUCAAACAACUUGAGUUUGCCAAAGGCAACAGUGGAUAUGGUUGCCGUGGAAAAGUUCCUCCAUUUCCAAGAUUCUGUUCCUUGCAAAAUUAGGGCAAAGCGCGGAUGUGCCACUCAUCCACGAAGUAUUGCAGAAAGAGUGAGUUUCUUUAUAUUAUAUCAUGUAUGUUCUGUUUUGAAAAUAGCAUCUAUCAAUCAAACAAUGAAUGUCUGUAACAUGUCACUGCAGUGAUAGUCUUGGGCUUAUGCUUAAUCUGUGAACAUCAUUGGUUUUCAACUGUAUAGUGCUGUAGUUUAUAUUGGUUGAUCUAAUGAGGUCAAGCGAGACUGUUAAGAGGCUACGUUCUGCAAUUUUUUUUCCAGGUGAGAAGAACCCGGAUCAGUGAAAGAAUGAAGAAACUACAAGAGCUUGUUCCAAACAUGGACAAGCAAGCAAACACGGCGGACAUGUUAGAUUUGGCUGUUGGGUACAUCAAAGAUCUUCAGAAGCAAUACAAGACUCUCAUUGACAACCGAGCGAACUGCAAGUGUUUGAGUAAGCAGAAGCCAGUUCAAAGCCAAAUUGUUUGACAUGCUUGUGUAAAGAAAAUAAGGGAUGCGGAUAGGAACCAGUUCUUGUAUGUCUUUUUCUGUGCAAUGAUCAAGUAUAUACAAGCAAGAUAUUUUCUUCUUUCCAAAAGGCCAGCAUAGCAAGUUGAGUAGAAUUUUCACUGCAAAAUUAUGAUACGGAAGCUAACAAAGCUUCCAAUUACACAAUACCUGAAAUAAAGAGAGAAACUUACAGUACAUGUCCUUUUAAUGCAUUAAUUCCUUGUUAUAUUUAUCUUGUGUAAGCUAGACACUUCAAUCAAGGGCUUUCCCUUCACACGUCUGUAGUUCUUUAGAAGUAGUUCAGUCGUCUAAUCUUGGUGAUGCAUGUCCGGUAGAGGUGAAAUUCUUGGGAUAAACUACUAUUUAGCCUCUGCUUUAGAGCAUAUUUAACAAUUUGGUUCUCCUAUUUUCAUAAAUAGCCAAAUUGGUGAUGCUUAUAGAAAAUACGUUGCCAAGUUAAUGUUACUGAUGUAAAGGUGUACUGUCGCAAAAAUAUGGAGCGACAGACAGUUAUAGCCUAAAUUAAAU
This 3004-nucleotide unclassified non-coding RNA is filed under the name Hevea brasiliensis (rubber tree). The record is from RNAcentral. Lineage: Eukaryota; Viridiplantae; Streptophyta; Magnoliopsida; Malpighiales; Euphorbiaceae.